Molecule: ribosomal RNA, 253 nt
Filed under: uncultured bacterium
Lineage: Bacteria
Description: partial 16S ribosomal RNA
Rfam family: Bacterial small subunit ribosomal RNA
Source: RNAcentral
UACGUAGGGUGCGAGCGUUGUCCGGAAUUAUUGGGCGUAAAGGGCUCGUAGGCGGUUUGUCGCGUCGGGAGUGAAAACCAUGGGCUUAACUCAUGGCUUGCUUCCGAUACGGGCAGACUAGAGGCAUGCAGGGGAGAACGGAAUUCCUGGUGUAGCGGUGAAAUGCGCAGAUAUCAGGAAGAACACCCGUGGCGAAAGCGGCUCUCUGGGACGGUACUGACGCUGAGACGCGAAAGCGUGGGGAGCGAACAGG